RNAcentral lists this transfer RNA (77 nucleotides) under Gemmataceae bacterium. RNAcentral describes it as "tRNA-Val". Lineage: Bacteria; Pseudomonadati; Planctomycetota; Planctomycetia; Gemmatales; Gemmataceae. The record is from RNAcentral.
CGUUUCGUGACACAGUUCGUUUGUUUUGGGCCUCCCUUACAAGGAGGAAGUCGGGGGUUCGAGUCCCUCCACGCCCA